This is a non-coding RNA of Acanthosepion pharaonis, 84 nucleotides long. NCBI's taxonomy places the organism in Eukaryota, Metazoa, Mollusca, Cephalopoda, Sepiida, Sepiidae. The record is from the annotation of a GenBank genome assembly.
CCCAUAUAAUCACCAAAGUUAAACAAUGUUGAGCCUGGUCAGUACCUAGAUGGGUGACCGUUUGGGAAUAUUUGGUGCUGUAAG